Molecule: non-coding RNA, 246 nt
Organism: Vicia faba (fava bean)
Lineage: Eukaryota; Viridiplantae; Streptophyta; Magnoliopsida; Fabales; Fabaceae
Source: the annotation of a GenBank genome assembly
AUGGUUAUGGGUACCCCGAGUCCUCACCGCCUUGGUGUACUCGUUCUUAGAUUGAGUCUCAUCAUGAUUAAACUUUUCUGUCCAUGGGCGUGUGGUCACCCUGUAACAGUUGCCCUUAAGGUUACAACCAUUACGAAGGAGCACUUUGAGAUGAUUGUUUUCGUUAAAAAAUUUAGUAGGUGUUUACUUAAAGGUACUGUCAUGAGUGGAUUUGUUUUGGCAUGUUCAACAAAUAGGCAUGCUUAG